This 301-nucleotide ribosomal RNA is filed under the name uncultured bacterium. RNAcentral's name for it is "partial 16S ribosomal RNA". It matches the Rfam family "Bacterial small subunit ribosomal RNA", at positions 509 to 807 of the family's 1533-position model. The record is from RNAcentral.
CAGCCGCCGCGGUAAUACGUAGGGUGCAAGCGUUAAUCGGAAUUACUGGGCGUAAAGCGUGCGCAGGCGGUUCGCUAAGACAGGUGUGAAAUCCCCGGGCUUAACCUGGGAACUGCAUUUGUGACUGGCGGGCUAGAGUAUGGCAGAGGGGGGUAGAAUUCCACGUGCAGCAGUGAAAUGCGUAGAGAUGUGGAGGAAUACCGAUGGCGAAGGCAGCCCCCUGGGCCAAUACUGACGCUCAUGCACGAAAGCGUGGGGAGCAAACAGGAUUAGAUACCCCUGUAGUCCCUGUCUCUUAUAC